Molecule: ribosomal RNA, 253 nt
Filed under: uncultured bacterium
Lineage: Bacteria
Description: partial 16S ribosomal RNA
Rfam family: Bacterial small subunit ribosomal RNA
Source: RNAcentral
GACAGAGGGUGCGAACGUUGUUCGGAAUUACUGGGCGUAAAGCGCAUGUAGGCGGCAGCGCAAGUCGGGCGUGAAAUCCCACGGCUCAACCGUGGAAGUGCACUCGAAACUGCGCAGCUAGAGUCCUGGAGAGGAAGGUGGAAUGCUUGGUGUAGAGGUGAAAUUCGUAGAUAUCAAGCGGAACACCGGUGGCGAAGGCGGCCUUCUGGACAGUGACUGACGCUGAGGAGCGAAAGCGUGGGGAGCGAACAGG